AACGAUGAAACUUUACUGACUUCUUCGGAAAGAUUUAAAGCGGAUUAGUGGCGGACGGGUGAGUAACACGUGAGUAACCUGCCUUACACAAGGGGAUAGCCGUUUGGAAACGACGAAUAAUACCCUAUGAAACUAUCACUUCGCAUGAAGCGAUAGUCAAAGUGUUAGCGGUGUAAGAUGGACUUGCGUCUGAUUAGCUAGUUGGUGAGAAAAAAGCCCACCAAGGCAACGAUCAGUAGCCGGCUUGAGAGAGUGUACGGCCACAUUGGGACUGAGACACGGCCCAGACUCCUACGGGAGGCAGCAGUGGGGAAUUUUGCACAAUGGGGGAAACCCUGAUGCAGCGACGCCGCGUGAUUUAGAAGGCCUUCGGGUUGUAAAAAUCUUUUGUAUAGGAAGAAAAUGACAGUACUAUACGAAUAAGGUCCGGCUAAUUACGUGCCAGCAGCCGCGGUAAUACGUAAGGACCGAGCGUUGUCUGGAAUCAUUGGGCGUAAAGGGUACGUAGGCGGGUCAUUAAGUUAGAAGUCAAAGGCUAUAGCUCAACUAUAGUAAGCUUCUAAAACUGGAGACCUUGAGUAAUGGAAGGGAAAGUGGAUUCCUAGUGUAGCGGUGGAUGCGCAGAUAUUAGGAGGAAUACCGGUGGCGAAGGCGACUUUC
This 660-nucleotide ribosomal RNA is filed under the name uncultured Eubacteriales bacterium. RNAcentral's name for it is "bacterial SSU rRNA". It matches the Rfam family "Bacterial small subunit ribosomal RNA", at positions 50 to 729 of the family's 1533-position model. The record is from RNAcentral. Lineage: Bacteria; Bacillati; Bacillota; Clostridia; Eubacteriales.